AGAGUUUGAUCCUGGCUCAGGAUGAACGCUGGCGGCGUGCUUAACACAUGCAAGUCGAACGAACCUUCGGGUUAGUGGCGGACGGGUGAGUAACGCGUGAGAAUCUGCCCUCAGGAGGGGGAUAACGACUGGAAACGGUCGCUAAUACCCCAUAUGCCGAGAGGUGAAAUGAAUUUCGCCUGAGGAUGAGCUCGCGUCUGAUUAGCUAGUUGGUGGGGUAAAGGCCUACCAAGGCGACGAUCAGUAGCUGGUCUGAGAGGAUGAUCAGCCACACUGGGACUGAGACACGGCCCAGACUCCUACGGGAGGCAGCAGUGGGGAAUUUUCCGCAAUGGGCGAAAGCCUGACGGAGCAACGCCGCGUGAGGGAUGAAGGCCUCUGGGCUGUAAACCUCUUUUCUCAAGGAAGAAGAUCUGACGGUACUUGAGGAAUAAGCCACGGCUAAUUCCGUGCCAGCAGCCGCGGUAAUACGGGAGUGGCAAGCGUUAUCCGGAAUUAUUGGGCGUAAAGCGUCCGCAGGCGGCCUUGUAAGUCUGUCGUUAAAGCGUGGAGCUUAACUCCAUUUCAGCGAUGGAAACUACAAGGCUUGAGUGUGGUAGGGGCAGAGGGAAUUCCCGGUGUAGCGGUGAAAUGCGUAGAUAUCGGGAAGAACACCAGUGGCGAAGGCGCUCUGCUGGGCCAUAACUGACGCUCAUGGACGAAAGCCAGGGGAGCGAAAGGGAUUAGAUACCCCUGUAGUCCUGGCCGUAAACGAUGAACACUAGGCGUCGGGGGAAUCGACCCCCUCGGUGUCGUAGCCAACGCGUUAAGUGUUCCGCCUGGGGAGUACGCACGCAAGUGUGAAACUCAAAGGAAUUGACGGGGGCCCGCACAAGCGGUGGAGUAUGUGGUUUAAUUCGAUGCAACGCGAAGAACCUUACCAGGGUUUGACAUCCUGCGAAUCUCUUGGAAACGAGAGAGUGCCUUCGGGAACGCAGUGACAGGUGGUGCAUGGCUGUCGUCAGCUCGUGUCGUGAGAUGUUGGGUUAAGUCCCGCAACGAGCGCAACCCACGUCUUUAGUUGCCAGCAUUUAGUUGGGCACUCUAGAGAGACCGCCGGUGAUAAACCGGAGGAAGGUGUGGAUGACGUCAAGUCAUCAUGCCCCUUACAUCCUGGGCUACACACGUACUACAAUGCUACGGACAAAGGGCAGCAAACUCGCGAGAGCAAGCAAAUCCCAUAAACCGUGGCUCAGUUCAGAUCGUAGGCUGCAACUCGCCUACGUGAAGGAGGAAUCGCUAGUAAUCGCAGGUCAGCAUACUGCGGUGAAUACGUUCCC
Molecule: ribosomal RNA, 1319 nt
Filed under: metagenome
Description: bacterial SSU rRNA
Rfam family: Bacterial small subunit ribosomal RNA
Source: RNAcentral